RNAcentral lists this ribosomal RNA (497 nucleotides) under uncultured bacterium. Its description in RNAcentral is "partial 16S ribosomal RNA". It matches the Rfam family "Bacterial small subunit ribosomal RNA", at positions 28 to 507 of the family's 1533-position model. The record is from RNAcentral.
GAUGAACGCUGGCGGCGUGCCUAAUACAUGCAAGUCGAGCGAACGGACGAGAAGCUUGCUUCUCUGAUGUUAGCGGCGGACGGGUGAGUAACACGUGGAUAACCUACCUAUAAGACUGGGAUAACUUCGGGAAACCGGAGCUAAUACCGGAUAAUAUUUUGAACCGCAUGGUUCAAAAGUGAAAGACGGUCUUGCUGUCACUUAUAGAUGGAUCCGCGCUGCAUUAGCUAGUUGGUAAGGUAACGGCUUACCAAGGCAACGAUGCAUAGCCGACCUGAGAGGGUGAUCGGCCACACUGGAACUGGGACGCGGUCCAGACUCCUACGGGGAGCAGCAGUAGGGAAUCUUCCGCAAUGGGCGAAAGCCUGACGGAGCAACGCCGCGUGAGUGAUGAAGGUCUUCGGAUCGUAAAACUCUGUUAUUAGGGAAGAACAUAUGUGUAAGUAACUGUGCACAUCUUGACGGUACCUAAUCAGAAAGCCACGGCUAACUACGUG